GAUGAACGCUGGCGGCGUGCCUAAUACAUGCAAGUCGAGCGAACAGACGAGGAGCUUGCUCCUUUGACGUUAGCGGCGGACGGGUGAGUAACACGUAGGUAACCUACCUAUAAGACUGGGAUAACUUCGGGAAACCGGAGCUAAUACCGGAUAAUAUUUCGAACCGCAUGGUUCGAUAGUGAAAGAUGGCUUUGCUAUCACUUAUAGAUGGACCUGCGCCGUAUUAGCUAGUUGGUAAGGUAACGGCUUACCAAGGCAACGAUACGUAGCCGACCUGAGAGGGUGAUCGGCCACACUGGAACUGAGACACGGUCCAGACUCCUACGGGAGGCAGCAGUAGGGAAGCUUCCGCAAUGGGCGAAAGCCUGACGGAGCAACGCCGCGUGAGUGAUGAAGGUCUUCGGAUCGUAAAACUCUGUUAUUAGGGAAGAACAAACGUGUAAGUAACGGUGCACGUCUUGACGGUACCUAAUCAGAAAGCCACGGCUAACUACGU
This 496-nucleotide ribosomal RNA is filed under the name uncultured bacterium. RNAcentral's name for it is "partial 16S ribosomal RNA". It matches the Rfam family "Bacterial small subunit ribosomal RNA", at positions 28 to 506 of the family's 1533-position model. The record is from RNAcentral.